UCAAAAUGAAAAAUGGUCAAAAGACCAAAGAGUUGUAAUUCCCACUAAAUUUGGCGACAUCUUAGAAUUUGGAUCAUAUCUCAUUUUAGAAAUGUCC
Molecule: long non-coding RNA, 97 nt
Organism: Ipomoea nil (Japanese morning glory)
Lineage: Eukaryota; Viridiplantae; Streptophyta; Magnoliopsida; Solanales; Convolvulaceae
Exons: 3
Source: RefSeq, a predicted model, not a curated record